RNAcentral lists this ribosomal RNA (362 nucleotides) under uncultured Clavibacter sp. RNAcentral describes it as "bacterial SSU rRNA". It matches the Rfam family "Bacterial small subunit ribosomal RNA", at positions 1 to 362 of the family's 1533-position model. The record is from RNAcentral. Lineage: Bacteria; Bacillati; Actinomycetota; Actinomycetes; Micrococcales; Microbacteriaceae.
AGCUGAGUUUGAUCCUGGCUCAGGACGAACGCUGGCGGCGUGCUUAACACAUGCAAGUCGAGCGGUGAUGUCAGAGCUUGCUCUGGCGGAUCAGUGGCGAACGGGUGAGUAACACGUGAGUAACCUGCCCCCGACUCUGGGAUAACUGCUAGAAAUGGUAGCUAAUACCGGAUAUGACGACUGGCCGCAUGGUCUGGUCGUGGAAAGAACUUCGGUUGGGGAUGGACUCGCGGCCUAUCAGGUUGUUGGUGAGGUAAUGGCUCACCAAGCCUACGACGGGUAGCCGGCCUGAGAGGGUGACCGGCACACGUGGGACUGAGACACGGGCCCAGACUCCGUACGGGGAGGCAGCAGUGGGGGAA